RNAcentral lists this microRNA (21 nucleotides) under Sus scrofa (pig). RNAcentral's name for it is "ssc-mir18". The record is from RNAcentral. Lineage: Eukaryota; Metazoa; Chordata; Mammalia; Artiodactyla; Suidae.
GUGGUUGUGGCAUAGACCUCA